GAAAGGAGAAAACCGUUUCUUGAAUGGAGAUGCAAUUCAGCCCUAAAUCAAGGCCCGAAUCGAACGGAAAACGUUGCAUGAAUGAAGAUUUCUCACCAUCUAGCUUGAACAAACAUGUGUAUAGGAUCAUGUCAAGGUGGGUGGAAGCGUGGAAGGCUAAUGGGAAGGAUGCGAGGAAGCAAGUACGAAACGGACGCUUAAGGUUACAGAUAUUCAUGAUGGACAAGUGAACGAGGGUCGAGUUGAAGAUCAUGGAUUGUACGGGAAAGUGGUCACGUUGUUGUAAUUAUUUGUUAACAUAGUUACAUUAAAUAAAUGAUGAAUGAUGUAUUUAUGUUAGAAGGGUUGACCUAAACGGUAUUUAAGUAUGUUAUAGUAGUUAAAAGAAAGAAAUUUUACGGUUCAUUU
Helianthus annuus (common sunflower) is the source of this 408-nucleotide long non-coding RNA. RefSeq lists it as uncharacterized. The record is from RefSeq and is a predicted model, not a curated record. NCBI's taxonomy places the organism in Eukaryota, Viridiplantae, Streptophyta, Magnoliopsida, Asterales, Asteraceae. The transcript is spliced from 3 exons.